RNAcentral lists this long non-coding RNA (470 nucleotides) under Phoenix dactylifera (date palm). Its description in RNAcentral is "long non-coding RNA (PDAC_LNC013841)". Lineage: Eukaryota; Viridiplantae; Streptophyta; Magnoliopsida; Arecales; Arecaceae. The record is from RNAcentral.
AGGAUUAUCCAAGUGUAACAAAUUUAUCAAAUCAAUUGAUUUUAGUAUCAUCCUAGUAUCACUCAAUCCCUUAAAAGCUUGUUCAACUAAAAUUAAAAUGGCACUGUCUAGGAAAAAAUAAUACACUUGAGAAAAAUAAUCCAUCAGUUAGAUUUCUUUUGUAAAGUGGAUUCUUGGUAAAUUAGCUAAAUAAGAACUAGAAAAUGCAUGUAAUCACAUAAAGCAAUGGUCUUGAGGAAACAAAUCUGACCAAUAUGAGCCAAUUUAACGAAGAAAAAACUUUUUUGAAAGUCAACCAAGAUGUUAUAACCUAGCAAUGCAUUAAUCAAGUACCUAAAGAACUAUGGGUUGAGAGAAAAAGGCUAUAGUGAAAUAAAAAGAGUGGGCAUAGAGAGAGGGGGAGGGAGAGGAGAGCGAGGAGAAGGAUGUGUGGGCGGAGGAGGACCAAGAACCAUGGUACACGAUGCCUC